This 839-nucleotide ribosomal RNA is filed under the name uncultured bacterium. RNAcentral's name for it is "bacterial SSU rRNA". It matches the Rfam family "Bacterial small subunit ribosomal RNA", at positions 60 to 894 of the family's 1533-position model. The record is from RNAcentral.
AGUCGAACGAGAAUCUUUGAACAGAUCUUUUCGGAGUGACGUUCAAAGAGGAAAGUGGCGGACGGGCGAGUAACGCGUGAGUAACCUGCCCAUAAGAGGGGGAUAAUCCAUGGAAACGUGGACUAAUACCGCAUAUUGUAGUUAAGUUGCAUGACUUGAUUAUGAAAGAUUUAUCGCUUAUGGAUGGACUCGCGUCAGAUUAGAUAGUUGGUGAGGUAACGGCUCACCAAGUCAACGAUCUGUAGCCGAACUGAGAGGUUGAUCGGCCGCAUUGGGACUGAGACACGGCCCAGACUCCUACGGGAGGCAGCAGUGGGGAAUAUUGCGCAAUGGGGGCAACCCUGACGCAGCAACGCCGCGUGCAGGAAGAAGGUCUUCGGAUUGUAAACUGUUGUCGCAAGGGAAGAAGACAGUGACGGUACCUUGUGAGAAAGUCACGGCUAACUACGUGCCAGCAGCCGCGGUAAUACGUAGGUGACAAGCGUUGUCCGGAUUUACUGGGUGUAAAGGGCGCGUAGGCGGACUGUCAAGUCAGUCGUGAAAUACCGGGGCUUAACCCCGGGGCUGCGAUUGAAACUGACAGCCUUGAGUAUCGGAGAGGAAAGCGGAAUUCCUAGUGUAGCGGUGAAAUGCGUAGAUAUUAGGAGGAACACCAGUGGCGAAGGCGGCUUUCUGGACGACAACUGACGCUGAGGCGCGAAAGUGUGGGGAGCAAACAGGAUUAGAUACCCUGGUAGUCCACACCGUAAACGAUGGAUACUAGGUGUAGGAGGUAUCGACCCCUUCUGUGCCGCAGUUAACACAAUAAGUAUCCCACCUGGGGAGUACGACCGCAAGGU